CGCGACGUAGUUGACUCCUGGCUCGAGGACGACGCUGGCGGCGUGCCUAACACAUGCAAGUCGAGCGGAGUUUUUAAGAUGAGACCUUCGGGUGGAUUUUUAAGAAACUUAGCGGCGGACGGGUGAGUAACGCGUGGACAAUCUGCCUCUUACAGGGGGAUAACACAGGGAAACCUGUGCUAAUACCGCAUAAAACUGCACCGUGGCAUCACGGAGUAGCCAAAGGAGCAAUCCGGUAAGAGAGGAGCCCGCGUCUGAUUAGCUAGUUGGUGAGGUAACGGCCCACCAAGGCGACGAUCAGUAGCCGAACUGAGAGGUUGAUCGGCCACAUUGGGACUGAGACACGGCCCAGACUCCUACGGGAGGCAGCAGUGGGGAAUAUUGCGCAAUGGGGGAAACCCUGACCGAGCAAUGCCGCGUGAGUGAAGAAGGCCUUCGGGUUGUAAAGCUCUUUUGGAUGGGAAGAUGAUGACGGUACCAUCAGAAUAAGCACCGGCAAACUUCGUG
This 507-nucleotide ribosomal RNA is filed under the name uncultured bacterium. RNAcentral's name for it is "bacterial SSU rRNA". It matches the Rfam family "Bacterial small subunit ribosomal RNA", at positions 1 to 507 of the family's 1533-position model. The record is from RNAcentral.